CGACCAAAUCUCGUUGAAAUAUCGGUUCUCGUCCGAUCACCGAAAUUAAGCAACGUCGAGACUAGACAGUACCUAGAUGGGUGACCGCUUGUAAAAUACUGGGUGCUGUAA
Molecule: ribosomal RNA, 111 nt
Filed under: Acanthosepion pharaonis
Lineage: Eukaryota; Metazoa; Mollusca; Cephalopoda; Sepiida; Sepiidae
Source: RNAcentral